GAUGAACGCUGGCGGCGUGCCUGAUACAUGCAAGUCGAGCGAACAGAUGAGGAGCUUGCUCCUCUGACGUUAGCGGCGGACGGGUGAGUAACACGUGGAUAACCUACCUAUAAGACUGGGAUAACUUCGGGAAACCGGAGCUAAUACCGGAUAAUAUAUUGAACCGCAUGGUUCAAUAGUGAAAGACGGUUUUGCUGUCACUUAUAGAUGGAUCCGCGCCGCAUUAGCUAGUUGGUAAGGUAACGGCUUACCAAGGCGACGAUGCGUAGCCGACCUGAGAGGGUGAUCGGCCACACUGGAACUGAGACACGGUCCAGACUCCUACGGGAGGCAGCAGUAGGGAAUCUUCCGCAAUGGGCGAAAGCUUGACGGAGCAACGCCGCGUGAGUGAUGAAGGUCUUCGGAUCGUAAAACUCUGUUAUUAGGGAAGAACAAAUGUGUAAGUAACUAUGCACGUCUUGACGGUACCUAAUCAGAAAGCCACGGCUAACUACGUG
Molecule: ribosomal RNA, 497 nt
Filed under: uncultured bacterium
Lineage: Bacteria
Description: partial 16S ribosomal RNA
Rfam family: Bacterial small subunit ribosomal RNA
Source: RNAcentral